Molecule: non-coding RNA, 21 nt
Filed under: Arabidopsis thaliana (thale cress)
Lineage: Eukaryota; Viridiplantae; Streptophyta; Magnoliopsida; Brassicales; Brassicaceae
Source: RNAcentral
UCUCUCUUUCGCCUUCACAAU